GACAGUGUGGCCGAGCGGUCUAAGGCGCUGGUUUUAAGCACCAAUCCGAAAGGGCGUGGGUUCGAAUCCCACCGCUGUCA
Transfer RNA from Drosophila willistoni, 80 nucleotides. It matches the Rfam family "tRNA". From Rfam's summary of the family: Transfer RNA (tRNA) molecules are approximately 80 nucleotides in length. Lineage: Eukaryota; Metazoa; Arthropoda; Insecta; Diptera; Drosophilidae. The record is from Rfam.